GAAACAUCCUGCUGAAGAGAAAGGUGGAUCUAAAAAUCAGAGUCUGUCAGGUGGAGGUGGAGGAGGGGGCGGAGUCUGUCCAGCUGCCCUUCAAAACCACACAAAACCUGCCUGAAGAUGCUGAAGUGGUGUGGGAACGCUAUGAACCUGAAUACAGGAAGGUUCACGUGUAUGAGAACGGCUCUGACCAGCCUGAAGAACAGCACCAGGUUUACAGAGACCGAACGAAGAUGAAUGAAGACCUGCUGAAAACUGGAGACCUCAGUCUGACCCUGAAACACCCCAAAGAGAGAGACAGUGGGAGAUAUGUGUGUUAUUUAUGGAGUCAUGGAGACAGAAGGAAAACUGUGCAGCUCAAAGUCAAAGGGAGAGUUCAGGUCCAGGAUCAAACAGGGGACAUCAGGAACAGAAGCAGCUCCAUUGAUCCGACUCCUCUGAUGGCUGAUCAAUCAGUUUGAUCUGUGUGUUCUUUGAUUAUUGAUCAGUGAUGUCAGAGUGGAGUCAGUGUGAUGUUGUUGUUGUGUGUUUGAGACUUUUAGUGUCCAUGAAGGUCUCUGCUGCCGUAGAUCCUCUGAACUGUGACAGAGGUCUCACUCUGGAGGAAACUCUCAGCACUUUCCAGCAGCUCCUCCAUCAUGGAGGACGUUCCCUCACUGUAACAGGUGGAGGAGAGAGGAGAGGAAGCACAGGUGGAUCCUCUGAGGAAGAGGAGCGUUCCUACAAACCACAUGAUCACAUGACCAGAGGGGCGUGGCCUUCAGUGGUAGUAAUAAAGGAACAGUCCACAUGUUCCACUUUGAAGGCUCAUCUCCAACAAAGCAGACCUGUGAUCACUUUAACUCAGUAUGAUGGAUUGUUUGGAUUUGUCUUUGUUUCUCUGGUUUUUCUUGUGUGUCUGUGUGUCUUUGUAUGUUGGAUAGAGUCAUGUGACCUGCCCAGGGACUACACAUGGAAAUGAGCAGUUUAGCUCAAAUCUGGCAGGUUUGCAUCUUCUGUUUUUAUCCUGAUGUCCAUGAACAUGAACACUGUCCCUGUCAAAUAAAU
Oreochromis aureus is the source of this 1044-nucleotide long non-coding RNA. NCBI's taxonomy places the organism in Eukaryota, Metazoa, Chordata, Actinopteri, Cichliformes, Cichlidae. The record is from Ensembl.